Molecule: ribosomal RNA, 719 nt
Filed under: Lobothallia sp.
Lineage: Eukaryota; Fungi; Ascomycota; Lecanoromycetes; Pertusariales; Megasporaceae
Description: SSU rRNA
Rfam family: Bacterial small subunit ribosomal RNA
Source: RNAcentral
UAGCGAAAGCUAGUUGUAUUAAUUAUGUCUUUAGUUAAAUGCAGCAUCGACUAUGUCGAAUAAAGUUCUAGGUAGAGUUAUGAUAAUGACAUUUUCUACCUAUGUGUCUUGACCAAAUCACGUGCCAGCAGUCGCGGAAAUACGUGGAAGACUAGUGUUAUUCAUCUUUAAUAGGUUUAAAGGGUACUUAGACGGUAAAUUAAGCCCAGAUAAAAAUAAAGGGUACUAAUUAUACUAGAGUUUAAAUGAGAGGGGGGGUGUAGUAGUGGUGUAGAGAUGAAAUUCUGUCAUACCAAGAUGACAGGCAACGGCGCAAGCAACCUUUUAUGUGUAGACUGACGUUAAAGGACGAAGGCUUUGUAUCACCAACAGGAUUAGGUACCCAAGCAGUCUUAGCAGACAAUUCUGAAUGCCAUAGAUAAGAAAAGAUUCUUUUCUCUCUAUCUCUAUUAAUAAAAAGAGAUAGAUGUUAUUUUGUCUAUAAAUGAAAGUGUAAGCAUUCCACCUCAAGAGUAAUGUGGCAACGCAUAAACUGAAAUCAUUAGACCGUUUCUGAAACCAGUAGUGAAGUAUGUUGUUUAAUUUGAUGGUCCGCACAAAACCUCACCACAAUUUGUAUAUUAUUAUCUUAAUACAGGAGUUGCACGGCUGUCUUCAGUUAAUGUCGUGAGAUUUUGGUUAGUUCCAUUAAAUUAACGUAAACCCUUACUUUAUUUAUG